This 253-nucleotide ribosomal RNA is filed under the name uncultured bacterium. RNAcentral's name for it is "partial 16S ribosomal RNA". It matches the Rfam family "Bacterial small subunit ribosomal RNA", at positions 524 to 776 of the family's 1533-position model. The record is from RNAcentral.
UACGGAGGGUGCGAGCGUUGUCCGGAAUCACUGGGCUUAAAGGGCGCGUAGGCGGGCUCACAAGUCAGGGGUGAAAGCCCACGGCUCAACCGUGGAAGUGCCUUUGAUACUGUGGGUCUUGAGGGAGGUAGGGGCGUGCGGAACUUCCGGUGGAGCGGUGAAAUGCGUAGAUAUCGGAAGGAACACCGGUGGCGAAAGCGGCGCGCUGGACCUCCACUGACGCUGAGGCGCGAAAGCCAGGGGAGCAAACGGG